RNAcentral lists this ribosomal RNA (501 nucleotides) under uncultured bacterium. RNAcentral describes it as "partial 16S ribosomal RNA". It matches the Rfam family "Bacterial small subunit ribosomal RNA", at positions 355 to 873 of the family's 1533-position model. The record is from RNAcentral.
UGGGGAAUAUUGGACAAUGGGGGCAACCCUGAUCCAGCAAUGCCGCGUGUGUGAAGAAGGUCUUCGGAUUGUAAAGCACUUUCGACGGGGGCGAUGAUGACGGUACCCGUAGAAGAAGCCCCGGCUAACUUCGUGCCAGCAGCCGCGGUAAUACGAAGGGGGCUAGCGUUGCUCGGAAUGACUGGGCGUAAAGGGCGUGUAGGCGGUUUACACAGUCAGAUGUGAAAUCCCCGGGCUUAACCUGGGAGCUGCAUUUGAUACGUGUAGACUAGAGUGUGAGAGAGGGUUGUGGAAUUCCCAGUGUAGAGGUGAAAUUCGUAGAUAUUGGGAAGAACACCGGUGGCGAAGGCGGCAACCUGGCUCAUGACUGACGCUGAGGCGCGAAAGCGUGGGGAGCAAACAGGAUUAGAUACCCUGGUAGUCCACGCUGUAAACGAUGUGUGCUAGAUGUUGGGUAACUUUGUUAUUCAGUGUCGCAGUUAACGCGUUAAGCACACCGCC